RNAcentral lists this ribosomal RNA (445 nucleotides) under uncultured bacterium. RNAcentral describes it as "bacterial SSU rRNA". It matches the Rfam family "Bacterial small subunit ribosomal RNA", at positions 354 to 796 of the family's 1533-position model. The record is from RNAcentral.
GUGAGGAAUAUUGCGCAAUGGAGGCAACUCUGACGCAGCCAUGCCGCGUGCAGGAAGAAGGCGCUACGCGUUGUAAACUGCUUUUAACCGGGAAGAAACCCCAGGACGUGUCCUGGGUUGACGGUACCGGAGGAAUAAGCACCGGCUAACUUCGUGCCAGCAGCCGCGGUAAUACGAAGGGUGCAAGCGUUAUCCGGAUUCAUUGGGUUAAAAGGGUGCGUAGGCGGAGCGUUAAGUCAGUGGUGAAAUCCUGCAGCUUAACUGUAGACUUGCCAUUGAUACUGGCGCUCUUGAGUGCGCUUGAAGUGGGCGGAAUGUGCCGUGUAGCGGUGAAAUGCUUAGAUAUGGCACAGAACACCAAUUGCGAAGGCAGCUCACUAAGGCGAUACUGACGCUGAGGCACGAAAGCGUGGGGAUCGAACAGGAUUAGAAACCCGAGUAGUCC